RNAcentral lists this unclassified non-coding RNA (331 nucleotides) under soil metagenome. RNAcentral's name for it is "partial contains 5.8S ribosomal RNA, internal transcribed spacer 2, and large subunit ribosomal RNA". The stretch from base 1 to 120 matches the Rfam family "5.8S ribosomal RNA", at positions 35 to 154 of the family's 154-position model. The record is from RNAcentral.
GAUGAAGAACGCAGCGAAAUGCGAUAAGUAAUGUGAAUUGCAGAAUUCAGUGAAUCAUCGAAUCUUUGAACGCACAUUGCGCCCCCUGGUAUUCCGGGGGGCAUGCCUGUUCGAGCGUCAUUUCACCACUCAAGCCUCGCUUGGUAUUGGGCGACGCGGUCCGCCGCGCGCCUCAAAUCGACCGGCUGGGUCUUUCGUCCCCUCAGCGUUGUGGAAACUAUUCGCUAAAGGGUGCCGCGGGAGGCCACGCCGUAAAACAACCCCAUUUCUAAGGUUGACCUCGGAUCAGGUAGGGAUACCCGCUGAACUUAAGCAUAUCAAAAGCGGAGGA